Long non-coding RNA from Neofelis nebulosa (Clouded leopard), 956 nucleotides. RefSeq lists it as uncharacterized. The record is from RefSeq and is a predicted model, not a curated record. The transcript has 3 exons. Lineage: Eukaryota; Metazoa; Chordata; Mammalia; Carnivora; Felidae.
GCCCUGUGGGCCCGGGAGCGGCGCGCCUCGCGGCGGCGCCCUGCGCAGGCUCCGCAGGCGUUGAGCGCGGGAGGCUCGGCGAUCCUCCCAGGGAUGCGGCGGCGGCGGCGUCGAGCCUUUGUAUCCCGCGGUUGGUGCGGUGAGGUGUCUCUCUCGGCUGCUGAAUACCAUUCGGUCACGUGUGGUAGGAGGAGAGAUUUGUCUAAAAACCUGAGACCGCUCCUAGCUCAGAUCUCUGGGAAAGGUUCCAGCUUCCCCCGAGAUUUACAGCUUACCUAGAGAGACUCUCCUUGUUGAAUGGGGACACCCGCUUGUUCGCCCAGAUCGCAGAAUCUGGCCCUUUCUUGUCGGAAAUAUUUGCUAAGUGAUUGAGAGGCUGCAGGUGCCUGUUGCCUUUAUUCAGAUUAUCAGUUAAUUUCAUUGUGCUCUUACCAACAAGUGCUACAGGUCCAUAAGAAAAAAUUAAACACCGCAACUCAACUAAAGGUGUUACCUAUAACACAAACAUUAGUAACAGUGUUGGUGUUAAUGGAACUGACAGUUCAGAUACACUGAUCCCUGCAGUACAGGGACACAAAAGCCCAAUCCCAGGAUCUAAACAAACUUGGAAACCUUUUUCACACCAUGAGAUGGAAUUUCACAUUCUUUUUAACCCACUGGAACAGCCAGCUAGUUUUGAGCCUGAAGAAAAGAGAUCAGACAGUUCUCUCAACACGAACCUCUGGGUGGAUUGGGCAGGGAACACAAGGAACUUCCAUACCCUGAGCUCCCUGUGUGCUUGAGCACUUUCUCCCCAAACCCUGUGGUACAUACUGGAGGAAGAACCCUGGCUUUGAAAUCAGAUAUGGAUGCCAGUUACUAGCUGCGUGGUGCUGGGCAAUGUACGAAGCCCAUCUGGGCUUCAGUGCCUUCGCCUUAAAGUGGUUAUAAUAUUUACCUCCUUAAAACUGUUGUAA